This is a long non-coding RNA of Mesocricetus auratus (golden hamster), 1419 nucleotides long. RefSeq lists it as uncharacterized. The record is from RefSeq and is a predicted model, not a curated record. NCBI's taxonomy places the organism in Eukaryota, Metazoa, Chordata, Mammalia, Rodentia, Cricetidae. The transcript is spliced from 3 exons.
CCUGCACUCACCAUCUCCUGCCCUUCCCACAGAAUCACCUAGACCAGUCCCUCAUCACACAGGAAGCCCAACCAGCGUGCUUGGAUGACAGAAAAAUCAACACCAUGGCAACAGAUAACCACAAUUGCUGCAUGGGACAAUAACACAAGAUGCAUUAACUAUCAAUAGACAGGGACACAAAUAGAUAACAAAGAUAAUAUACAUGAAAAAUAGUCUGCCAAGCAGCGCCAGCCCCAACGAGUGUGAAUUUACAGUUUCCUACAGUAGUCAUGAAGGCUCCCAUUGUUGAUCACUCUCUGAUUGCUCCGUUUCCACUGCAGACAAACUGCUCUAAAUGGACACAAAGACGGGACGUAGCCAAAAUUCAUUCUGCAAAUAUUUGGACACACUUUCCGAAGGUCCAGCGGCCCAUUCCAUUUUACAGAUUGGUUUGAUGGCUUCAGAAAGUCAUCUUUUUUCUUUUACUGUGGCAAUAAGUAAUGGCGUCUAUUCCACGCCUUUGUCAUACCUAAUUGACACUUUAUAGUUCCCGAAGGGCAAUUGGACAAAGACUUUUAAAAAGCUGAAUUGGAAAUGACUAAUAAGGAUUUUAAAAAGGAACUGAGAGGUUGCAGAGCCCGCGAAGCUGGAUGCUAUCUAUUCUCUACCGUUAGCGUGAAGGCGACUUGCAGCAGUCCUCAGGAUGACAUCUUGCUGAAAGCCGCGCUGUCUCAAGGCCUAACUUUGACGGACCGUGUCAUCGUCCCUACUGCGACACAGGCAGUGUGGUCUAUGUCUCUUAGAUGCUGCUGACCAAAUCUUCAUAAGCAACGCUGUCGUUCGUUAGGAAAAGAAUUCUCCCAGCACCACAGAGUACACAUACCAAGGAAAAUGAGCCAGAAACAGCAAUUGUGGCUUCACGCAGUGGGAAAAUUCCACUUGUCGUGAGGCAAUGAGAGGGUGAUGGAAUUUCUGGCAUCCUAAUGUGGCUCCAUAGGAAAGAAGACUACGGUGCACCUACGACCCAAUCAUCUGCAAAGCAUUCAUUUGUUUCACUGAAAAGAAAAACCGGAAGUCCCUCCCUCCCUCCCUCCAGAGCAAGUUCUGCACCAUGGUGCUUUUCUCCAGUGGACAAUUAGACUGAAUUAAAUGGAAGUCACAGUCAGGUUGUGUCCAGAAUCCCGGGACAUGUGAACACUGCUUCCAAGCAUAACCCUCCACUUCAGCGCAAGCAAUGUGAAAGAGAAAUCUGGUGUUUGGAAUAUGUUUUGACAAAGUGGUCCUGGGUGAGAACACUUCGCAAGGAGACCACACAUUUCUGUGUCUGGGUCUUAGGAACUGGAUAAUCUAAGCCUCGCUCCUUGGCUGCCAGUGAGACGCUGCAUCCUAUUUUAAACGGUGAGCAGCUGCUUUAUAAAUGUUUUCAAAAUAAAUGUUCUG